UUAUCAUAUUGCAUGGCUCAGAGCAGCACGCAUGGACAUUCAGCAUCUGUAAGGGGACCAUGCAGCAGAGGCUGACAGUGGAGAGUGCAGUGCACAUAAAGACACGCCAGUGUUUGGUGAGAGGGACUUGAUCCAGAUCAGCAAAAGCGAAGUGACUGAUGUGCACAGCGGUGUGCAAAUGGCGACUAUGGGAUAGCAAUGGCCGAUGUCAGGCUGCUGGCAGAGAGCGCAAGACAUGAUGGAAACACCAUUGGCCACAAGUCUACAGAGGUCUUGGCGCUGACCUGGAUGCUUCCUUUGAAGCUGGUAAAGUUGUCCAUUUAUAACUAUCUGCACCCGGCCAAGCUGCUGGAUGCUCUUAUUACCUGCAGUUAUGUCCCCACUUCCACAGAUGCAAGAGAAGAUCUGUUUGCCUUCUGAGAAGACUUGAUAUACCUCCUGAGAGGCUAACGGACAUGCUCAGGCUCAGCCAGCUUGUGACACAAUAAACAUAUCCACAUUGGUGAGAGGACAAGAAGAGCCCAGUGGACACAGAGCUCUGUGGAGAAGGAUACCAAGGUCAGGUCAGGAUGGGGAGCCUUCCCAUGGUCAAUAAUGUGUCUGGGGCCACCUCCUGUGCUCAUGACAGUG
Molecule: long non-coding RNA, 630 nt
Filed under: Homo sapiens (human)
Lineage: Eukaryota; Metazoa; Chordata; Mammalia; Primates; Hominidae
Description: non-protein coding lnc-SLC5A1-2:1
Source: RNAcentral